GCAACCGAGUCGCGCUACGCGUUCAGCUUUGAGAUGCCGGUUGCCACAGUUAUUAACUGCAUACUCCUAUUACCAAAGAGCAUCUGAUGGAACGCUUCGAGACUCCCUUCGAUCUACCACCCAACAAUCCAGGAUUGACCUGGGACAAAUCUUCUUUGAAAAAUUCCAUAUGCCAUAAUGGCCGAUGAGGUCUCGAGGCACCUCACGGAUGGAUGCUUGAGUUUUCGGUGGGCAAACCCGCCAGUCAACCUUGACUAAGACAAAGCCUACCUUUAAAACUUUCUGAGCUUAUCUCAAGGAGACCUUGGGCUUACCCUCCAAAAGUCAUCAGAUCGGAUAGGCCCCAAUUGAAGCAACAGCGACCUGCAAGGGAAGACCCUCGAAAGCCAACUACUCAAGACCCAAGAGUACUUUCAACAACCCAGAUGUCACCAAAAAAUUCUUAACUAGAUUCGAGGUCACCUCGAUAUAA
This 472-nucleotide long non-coding RNA is filed under the name Elaeis guineensis (African oil palm). RNAcentral describes it as "long non-coding RNA (EGUI_LNC005373)". The record is from RNAcentral. Lineage: Eukaryota; Viridiplantae; Streptophyta; Magnoliopsida; Arecales; Arecaceae.